Molecule: ribosomal RNA, 459 nt
Filed under: uncultured bacterium
Lineage: Bacteria
Description: partial 16S ribosomal RNA
Rfam family: Bacterial small subunit ribosomal RNA
Source: RNAcentral
CCUACGGGUGGCAGCAGUGAGGAAUAUUGGUCAAUGGGCGGGAGCCUGAACCAGUCAAGCCGCGUGAGGGAAGAAGGUACAGCGUAUCGUAAACCUCUUUUGUCAGGGAACAAAUGCGGGGACUAGUCCCCGGAUGAGGGUACCUGAAGAAAAAGCAUCGGCUAACUCCGUGCUAGCAGCCGCGGUAAUACGGAGGAUGCGAGCGGUAUCCGGAUGUAUUGGGUUUAAGGGGUGCGCAGGCGGCCUGUUAAGUCAGCGGUAAAAGCCCGGGGCUCAACCCCGGCGAGCCGUUGAAACUGGCGGGCUGGAGUUGGAGAGAAGUACGCGGAAUGCGCGGUGUAGCGGUGAAAUGCGUAGAUAUAGCGCAGAACCCCGAAGGCGAAGGCAGCGUACCGGCUCCACACUGACGCUGAGGCACGAAAGCGUGGGUAGCGAACAGGAUUAGAUACCCCUGUAGUU